CGUGAGUGAUGAAGACCUUCGGGUCGUAAAGCUCUGUCAAGUGGGAAAAAAUACUUCCGGUCAAUACCCGGAAGGACUGAUGGUACCACUGGAGGAAGCACCGGCUAACUCCGUGCCAGCAGCCGCGGUAAUACGGAGGGUGCAAGCGUUGUUCGGAUUUACUGGGCGUAAAGAGCGUGUAGGCGGUUUGGCAAGUCAGAUGUGAAAGCCCUGGGCUCAACUCAGGAAGUGCAUUUGAAACUGCCAUACUAGAGUAUGGGAGAGGAGAGUGGAAUUCCCAGUGUAGAGGUGAAAUUCGUAGAUAUUGGGAGGAACACCGGUGGCGAAGGCGACUCUCUGGACCAAUACUGACGCUGAGACGCGAAAGCGUGGGGAGCAAACAGGAUUAGAUACCCUGGUAGUCCACGCCGUAAACGAUGAGAACUAGGUGUAGCGGGUAUUGACCCCUGCUGUGCCGCAGCUAACGCA
This 468-nucleotide ribosomal RNA is filed under the name uncultured delta proteobacterium. RNAcentral's name for it is "bacterial SSU rRNA". It matches the Rfam family "Bacterial small subunit ribosomal RNA", at positions 400 to 859 of the family's 1533-position model. The record is from RNAcentral. Lineage: Bacteria; Deltaproteobacteria.